Molecule: ribosomal RNA, 637 nt
Filed under: uncultured bacterium
Lineage: Bacteria
Description: bacterial SSU rRNA
Rfam family: Bacterial small subunit ribosomal RNA
Source: RNAcentral
UGCAAGUCGAACGGUAACAUUUCUAGCUUGCUAGAAGAUGACGAGUGGCGGACGGGUGAGUAAUGCUUGGGAACUUGCCUUUGCGAGGGGGAUAACAGUUGGAAACGACUGCUAAUACCGCAUAAUGUCUACGGACCAAACGGGGCUUAGGCUCCGGCGCAAAGAGAGGCCCAAGUGAGAUUAGCUAGUUGGUAAGGUAAAGGCUUACCAAGGCGACGAUCUCUAGCUGUUCUGAGAGGAAGAUCAGCCACACUGGGACUGAGACACGGCCCAGACUCCUACGGGAGGCAGCAGUGGGGAAUAUUGCACAAUGGGGGAAACCCUGAUGCAGCCAUGCCGCGUGUGUGAAGAAGGCCUUCGGGUUGUAAAGCACUUUCAGUUGUGAGGAAAAGUUAGUAGUUAAUACCUGCUAACCGUGACGUUAACAACAGAAGAAGCACCGGCUAACUCCGUGCCAGCAGCCGCGGUAAUACGGAGGGUGCGAGCGUUAAUCGGAAUUACUGGGCGUAAAGCGCACGCAGGCGGUUUGUUAAGCUAGAUGUGAAAGCCCCGGGCUCAACCUGGGAUGGUCAUUUAGAACUGGCAGACUAAAGUCUUGGAGAGGGGAGUGGGAAUCCAGGUGUAGCGGUGAAAUGCG